RNAcentral lists this transfer RNA (68 nucleotides) under Marmota monax (woodchuck). RNAcentral's name for it is "tRNA.Ala". Lineage: Eukaryota; Metazoa; Chordata; Mammalia; Rodentia; Sciuridae. The record is from RNAcentral.
GUUGUGGCUCAGUGGUAGAGCGGUUGCCUAGCACGUGUGAGGCCCUGGGUUCAAUUCUCAGCACCACA